This 495-nucleotide ribosomal RNA is filed under the name uncultured bacterium. Its description in RNAcentral is "partial 16S ribosomal RNA". It matches the Rfam family "Bacterial small subunit ribosomal RNA", at positions 28 to 507 of the family's 1533-position model. The record is from RNAcentral.
GACGAACGCUGGCGGCGUGCCUAAUACAUGCAAGUAGAACGCUGAAGGAGGAGCUUGCUUCUCCGGAUGAGUUGCGAACGGGUGAGUAACGCGUAGGUAACCUGCCUGGUAGCGGGGGAUAACUAUUGGAAACGAUAGCUAAUACCGCAUAACAGUAGAUAUCGCAUGAUAUCUGCUUGAAAGGUGCAAUUGCAUCACUACCAGAUGGACCUGCGUUGUAUUAGCUAGUUGGUGAGGUAACGGCUCACCAAGGCGACGAUACAUAGCCGACCUGAGAGGGUGAUCGGCCACACUGGGACUGAGACACGGCCCAGACGCCUACGGGAGGCAGCAGUAGGGAAUCUUCGGCAAUGGACGGAAGUCUGACCGAGCAACGCCGCGUGAGGGAAGAAGGUUUUCGGAUCGUAAAGCUCUGUUGUAAGAGAAGAACGAGUGUGAGAGUGGAAAGUUCACACUGUGACGGUAUCUUACCAGAAAGGGACGGCUAACUACGUG